This 274-nucleotide ribosomal RNA is filed under the name uncultured bacterium. Its description in RNAcentral is "partial 16S ribosomal RNA". It matches the Rfam family "Bacterial small subunit ribosomal RNA", at positions 523 to 796 of the family's 1533-position model. The record is from RNAcentral.
AUACAGAGGGUCCAAGCGUUAUCCGGAAUCAUUGGGUUUAAAGGGUCCGUAGGCGGGCAAUUAAGUCAGAGGUGAAAUCCCACGGCUCAACUGUGGAACUGCCUUUGAUACUGGUUGUCUUGAAUUAUAGUGAAGUAGAUAGAAUAUGUAGUGUAGCGGUGAAAUGCUUAGAUAUUACAUAGAAUACCGAUUGCGAAGGCAGUCUACUAACUGUAUAUUGACGCUGAUGGACGAAAGCGUGGGGAGCGAACAGGAUUAGAAACCCCAGUAGUCC